ACGUAGGGUGCGAGCGUUGUCCGGAAUUAUUGGGCGUAAAGGGCUCGUAGGCGGUUUGUCGCGUCGGGAGUGAAAACACCGGGCUUAACUCGGUGCUUGCUUUCGAUACGGGCAGACUAGAGGUAUGCAGGGGAGAACGGAAUUCCUGGUGUAGCGGUGAAAUGCGCAGAUAUCAGGAGGAACACCGGUGGCGAAGGCGGUUCUCUGGGCAUUACCUGACGCUGAGGAGCGAAAGUGUGGGGAGCGAACAGG
Molecule: ribosomal RNA, 252 nt
Filed under: uncultured bacterium
Lineage: Bacteria
Description: partial 16S ribosomal RNA
Rfam family: Bacterial small subunit ribosomal RNA
Source: RNAcentral